RNAcentral lists this long non-coding RNA (2861 nucleotides) under Homo sapiens (human). RNAcentral describes it as "HSALNT0112261". The record is from RNAcentral. Lineage: Eukaryota; Metazoa; Chordata; Mammalia; Primates; Hominidae.
CAGUCUCUUUCAGGGUAAAACCCACAGCAAGAGGUGAUGGUGGUAGAAGGGGAGUUAAGUCAGGGCAGGAAGUUUGAAUAAGACAGGAUAUAAAGGUGAGGGGUUAGGAGGAGGAGGAGUUGGAGAUGGAAGGGAGAAGACCUCCAUAGUCUUUUUAAAUUCAGAAAUAGUGUCAGAUAUCCUUUUGUUUACCUCCUGAAUGCAGUCAAUUUUGUUACAAUUUCUUUUAGAAGCUUCUAGGUGCCAUUGAAUGGGUGCUCCCAUCAAUUUGUCAUGUUCUAAAACUAGUUUUUUUCAAUUAUGCACACAAAUAAAUUAUUUUAGGACUUCAAAGGACCCUCAUUUCAGCCAUUGCUGCUUAUGACCAUCCUGGAUUAUGUGGGCUCAUUUUCUUUAGAUAUUUAUAAGAAGAUGCCCCGUAAGUGUUAUACACAGAACCAGCUUGUAUUUCUAAAGAAGACUGUCCUGUAAAAGAGUGCUCAGAUUCUGAAGGUUGAUUUCCUAUAAUUUAGGAACUUUUCAAAAGUGACCAAGGCCAGAAAUGUGUUUUGGGUCAAAGGGUGCUGCUCAUGAGCAUCACUCCUCCAAGUGUCAUCAAAGAGUCUUGGAUCACUCUCUUACGUGUCUCAAAAUAUCUGAUUGCCUUGUGGUGGCAGUGUGUUCAAGGUGCCAGGUGAUCAACCCUUAUGUGCACCUUCUGGUUGAGCUGAAAGUUGCAAUAGGUGUUCUUGUGGGGAAGCCCUAUAAAACCACUACUUGUCAUGGACGAACAAUCUGUCACUUUCAAAAAAUCUCUUGCCACCAGAUGCCAAUUGGAUUAAAUUGUUAAUUAGUUGGAGGGAGCAAGUGUCUCUUAAUUUUGGGGUGAGAGAAUUCACUCUCAUGCACCUUUUGGUUUGAAACUAACAAAAAUUGGUCAUAACUGAAAAGACACAUUUGAAUCAUAAUCAAGAGGAAGGAGCUGUAAUUUUUAAAACAUGCUAUGUAAUUUUAGACCAAAAGUAGUGCAACCACCAGUGCUAGACUGCACUGGUGACCCAGACCUUCUGCUAUGAGGCAGAGGCAGAGAAGGUAAAAGUUCUCUUUUAUCUUGAAAUCCAAAUCUCCUGACCUUAGAUAGAGAUGGAAAGCCCCAUUCUUGGAAGGGAGAUCUGAGAAAAACAGCUCACGCAAACACUAGACCUCAGCCUCAGGGUAGGAAGGUCCGAAUUCAGGACUCAUAUACACGUGACAAUGCUCUUAGAUCUGGAAAAACACAAGAGGCUCCAGCUGAACAGGUGCUGAAUCCAAGAGGACUGUCAAAUUGUUGAGGUCGGGGCUUGCUCUGAAUCCUGCUCAUAGUGCCAGGAAUGUUGGCUUAAAGGAAAAAAAGUGAGGCACAAAAUAUAAUUUUGAAGAGUUUACUUGAGCCAAAAUGAGACUGCUGCCUGGAAGACUCAGACCCAAGUAAUCUUGGAUAUGAACUCCAUUUGGCCUUUGUUACAAGCAGGUUUUUAAAAGCAAAAAUCAGGGACAAAGAGUUGGCUUAUACAAAGUUUUUUGUCAGGAAUUCUCAUUGGUUUACAGAAAUAACAUUGAUUAGUGAUACUGGCUAUAUGUUGUAUAAAUUAUGGUGUCUAGCAUUGAUAGAUUAAUUUAUAGCUACUUGUGAUUUUAACAAGUAGUUUCAAGAGCAGAUUACUUAGUCUAAAGGGGAUAAUGGGACAUGACCUCUGUUUCAUUCCAUUGCCUCUCUGGGCCUGAUAAUUUAGAGGAGACUGGCAUUCCUCAAAUAAAAGAGUUUUUUUUUUUUUCUCAAUACUUCUAACACAAAACAUGACAGGGAGGUUUCUCCCACACCAACCAAUUAUCUGACACCAGCUCGGUGUUCAAAAACUUAAUUCAAUUCUAAAAAUAACUACCUGAGUUAGUGUCAGAUUCACAAAUUUAAGGGUUCAGUCCCACAAGACUGCCCCAACUUCAGAUGCCAGUCACAAGCCCUGGGUCACCUGUACUUCCAACCAACUGGCUAUAAAUUAGGGAUUCUUAUGACUCCCCUCUCAGGUUAAUAUUUUGCUAGAAUGGCUCACGGAACUCAAGGAAAUACUUUACUGUUAUAAAGGAUAAGACUAAGGAACAACCAGAUGAAAGAGGUGCAUAGGGCAAUGUAUGGGGAGGAGAUGUGAAGCUUCCAUGCCUGUUCCAGGAGUACCACCCUCCCAGAACCUUGAUGUGUUCACCAACCUGGAAGCUUAUCAAAUCUCCUUGUUCGACAGUUUUUAUAGAGUUCAAUAUUGAGCCUCCCCUAUUCUCCUCUUCCAGAAAGUCAGUGGGUGGGACUUGAAGUUUCAACCCUUGAAUUACUUGGGCUAUUUCUUAAUUAUUUGGGCUAUAGCCCAUACUGAGGCUAUCUAGUGGGCUCACUCUAAGUCACCAAAUUAGCAUAAACUGAGGUAUGAUCAAAGGGACUUAUUAGGAAUAACAAAAAAGACACCCCUAUAACUCAGAAAAUCCCAAGGGUUUUAGGAGCUCUGUGUCAGAAGCAACAGAUGAAGACCAAAUAUAUAUUUGUUAUAUCACAGUAUCACAUUCACUAAUUGGGAUCCUCAGGAAGGAGCACUCUGAUAUGAAGAAGAGUAUGCAGAAAGUUUAUCGUAGAAUGUUUGCUAGAUGAACACCUGUGGAAGGGAAGAGAAGGGAAGGAAAAGAAACUAGAUAAGACAAAGAAAGAAGUUAAUAUGUGAUGGAUGCAUCCCAACAAAGACCUUACUCAGCAAAGGCAUGAGGAAUUUAUACACCCCAUUGACAAGCAUUGACUGUAGGAUGUUCCAGAAUCUGGGUGUUUUGACCCUGUACAAGGCAGCUUUCUUCAACCAAGAGCA